RNAcentral lists this ribosomal RNA (254 nucleotides) under uncultured bacterium. Its description in RNAcentral is "partial 16S ribosomal RNA". It matches the Rfam family "Bacterial small subunit ribosomal RNA", at positions 524 to 776 of the family's 1533-position model. The record is from RNAcentral.
GACGUAGGGCGCGAGCGUUGUCCGGAUUUAUUGGGCGUAAAGAGCUCGUAGGCGGCUUGUCGCGUCGUUCGUGAAAAACCUGCAGCUCAACUGCAGGCUUGCGGUCGAUACGGGCAGGCUAGAGUUCGGUAGGGGAGACUGGAAUUCCUGGUGUAGCGGUGAAAUGCGCAGAUAUCAGGAGGAACACCGGUGGCGAAGGCGGGUCUCUGGGCCGAUACUGACGCUGAGGAGCGAAAGCGUGGGGAGCGAACAGG